Molecule: ribosomal RNA, 467 nt
Filed under: uncultured bacterium
Lineage: Bacteria
Description: partial 16S ribosomal RNA
Rfam family: Bacterial small subunit ribosomal RNA
Source: RNAcentral
GAUGAACGCUGGCGGCGUGCUUAACACAUGCAAGUCGAACGGCAAGGCCCAAGCUUGCUUGGGUACUCGAGUGGCGAACGGGUGAGUAACACGAGGGUGAUCUGCUCUGCACUUUGGGAUAAGCCAGGGAAACUGGGCCUACUCUCGGAUAGGACGCUGGCUAGGAUGCCAUUGAGGAAAGCUUCUUCGGUGUGGGAUGAGAUCGCGGCCUAUCAGCUUGUUGGAGGGGUAAUGGCAUACCCAGGCGUCGGCGGGUAGCCGGCCUGAGAGGGUGUACGGCCACAUUGGGACUGAGAUACGGCCCAGACUCCGACGGGAGGCAGCAGGGGGGAAUAUUGCACAAUGGGUGCAAGCCUGAUGCAGCGACGCCUCGGGUUGGAUGACGGUCUUCUUGUUAUAGACUCCCUUCGCGAGGGACGAAGCGUGUUUUGGACGGAACCUGGAGAUGAAGCACCGGCUAACUACGG